GCCGGGCGUGGUGGUGGGCACCUGUAAUCCCAGCUACUUGGGAGGCAGAGGCAGGAGAAUCGCUUGAACCCGGGAGGCGGAGGUUGCGGUGAGCCGAGAUUGCGCCAUUGCACUCCAGCCUGGGUGACAAGAGUGAAACUCCAUCUCAAAAAAUAAUAAUAAUAGUAAUAUAUAUAUAUUUUUUUUUAGACGGAGUUUCGCUCUUGUCACCGAGGCUGGAGUGCAAUGGCAUGAUCUCGGCUCACCGCAACCUCUGCUUCCCAGGUUCAAGCAAUUCUCCUGCCUCAG
RNAcentral lists this signal recognition particle RNA (288 nucleotides) under Pongo abelii (Sumatran orangutan). RNAcentral describes it as "Metazoan signal recognition particle RNA (ENSPPYG00000041211.1)". It matches the Rfam family "Metazoan signal recognition particle RNA". From Rfam's summary of the family: The signal recognition particle (SRP) is a universally conserved ribonucleoprotein. The record is from Rfam by way of RNAcentral. Lineage: Eukaryota; Metazoa; Chordata; Mammalia; Primates; Hominidae.